Molecule: ribosomal RNA, 741 nt
Filed under: Triticum aestivum (bread wheat)
Lineage: Eukaryota; Viridiplantae; Streptophyta; Magnoliopsida; Poales; Poaceae
Description: partial small subunit ribosomal RNA
Source: RNAcentral
AUGAGUAAUGCUACCUUCUCUAUCUGCUCAUGGAAUGUACGUGGUCUAGGCGAUGAUGCCAAAUGCUCUGACGUUGUGUUUGAACUAAUCUCGAGGAAUCCUGACAUUGCCUUAUUACAAGAGUCAAAACUCGGUACCUUCACUGACCCAAAGCUAAGAUCCUUCCUGCCUAGGCAGCUUGACCAACUUUUCUCCUUACCAGCCAUAGGUACGGCGGGUGGCACCAUCUUUGCUGUUAACACUGCCUCCUUCCAAGUGAUCUCCUUCAACCACCUCACUUUCUCUUCAACCUUGAUCUUGCGAUCAACGGCAACAGACAGCAACAUAGCCAUCACCAAUAUGUACGCCCCCUCCUCCCGCGCACUCAAGCAAUCCUUCCUCAAUGAGUUACUAGCUUUCGCCCAACCAGACGACUCACCCUGGCUACUUGUGGGAGACUUUAACCUCCUCCAUUUCCCCUCUGACAAAAACAAUGACACAUUUAGACGGUCUGAGGCCAAUGCGUUUAACCAAACUAUCAAUGACCUAGACCUCAUCAAACUACUGAUUCUAGAUCGCCAAUUCACAUGGUCCAACAAUAGAGCAACACCCACCCUAGAACGGAUCGACCGCGCCUUUUUAACUUGGCAUGGGCUGAAGCCUUCCCCAACUCUUCCCUCUCACCCCUCAUGUGUUUCAUGUCCGACCACGUCCCCUCCUCAUUCACGUCACCACAACAAUCCCGCGGUCCAACUUUUUUAA